GAGGCCGAUAGGCGUAGGCGAUGGACAACAGGUAGAGAUUCCUGUACCAGUGCUAAUUGUUUAACCGAUGGGGUGACACAGAAGGAUAGGGAAUCGCACGAAUGGAAAUGUGCGUCCAAGCAGUGAGUGUGAGAAGUAGGCAAAUCCGCUUCUCGCGAAGCAUGAGCUGUGAUGGGGAAGGAAAUUAAGUACGGAAGUUCCUGAUUUCACGCUGUCAAGAAAAGCCUCUAGGAAGAGUAGUACUGCCCGUACCGCAAACCGACACAGGUAGAUGAGGAGAGAAUCCUAAGGUGAGCGAGAGAACUCUCGUUAAGGAACUCGGCAAAAUGACCCCGUAACUUCGGGAGAAGGGGUGCUCUAUUAGGGUGCAAGCCCGAGAGAGCCGCAGUGAAUAGGCCCAGGCGACUGUUUAGCAAAAACACAGGUCUCUGCAAAACCGUAAGGUGACGUAUAGGGGCUGACGCCUGCCCGGUGCUGGAAGGUUAAGAGGAGUGCUUAGCUUCGGCGAAGGUACGAAUUGAAGCCCCAGUAAACGGCGGCCGUAACUAUAACGGUCCUAAGGUAGCGAAAUUCCUUGUCGGGUAAGUUCCGACCCGCACGAAAGGCGCAACGAUCUGGGCACUGUCUCAACGGGAGACUCGGUGAAAUUAUAGUACCUGUGAAGAUGCAGGUUACCCGCGACAGGACGGAAAGACCCCGUGGAGCUUUACUGCAACCUGAUAUGGAAUGUUUGUACCGCUUGUACAGGAUAGGUAGGAGCCGAAGAGACG
This 770-nucleotide ribosomal RNA is filed under the name Listeria monocytogenes. Its description in RNAcentral is "bacterial LSU rRNA". It matches the Rfam family "Bacterial large subunit ribosomal RNA", at positions 1398 to 2164 of the family's 2925-position model. The record is from RNAcentral. Lineage: Bacteria; Bacillati; Bacillota; Bacilli; Caryophanales; Listeriaceae.